Non-coding RNA from Pantherophis guttatus, 484 nucleotides. The record is from RefSeq and is a predicted model, not a curated record. NCBI's taxonomy places the organism in Eukaryota, Metazoa, Chordata, Lepidosauria, Squamata, Colubridae.
AGUUCCUGUAGUCUUCCAACUUGGUAAUGACCUGAUCUAACUUCAUCAUUCAAUACUAGAGGUUCUUUUAUUGGUUAUGAUGGGAGAUGAAGUCCAACGCAUCUGAAGAGCACCGAUUUGGAGAAAUCUGUUUGAAGCAAAGAAUUGUCCUUAUGAAGGCCAUAUUAAUGAAGAUUGGGGAAAAACCAAAACAGAAGCACCCAUACCGCCAGAUGGUUCUCUGAUGUUUAUCAUAAACCAGUGAUUACUGUAAGUAGAGGACCAGCAUUAAGGCAAUAGAUCCAAGUCAUCAGAGAAUGCAGCAUAGUCCCACUUUAAGGGGACAACAGAUCCCAGGUUCCAAUAAUGAAAAAAAAACAAAAACAAGCAAACUAUAAAGAACAAUGUCCACGAAAGGAAGAGUAUGAAAGUCCUGUGCAGACAUCAAGGAGACAUCAGCAUGUUUUACAUACAACGAAACACUGAUCCUGUGCCACUCAUCUUG